Molecule: non-coding RNA, 46 nt
Organism: Phaseolus vulgaris (common bean)
Lineage: Eukaryota; Viridiplantae; Streptophyta; Magnoliopsida; Fabales; Fabaceae
Source: Rfam
UAUUUGGAUUUUUUCAAAUCCAUUUAAAAUAGAUUAAAACUAGAUU